This 800-nucleotide ribosomal RNA is filed under the name uncultured bacterium. RNAcentral's name for it is "bacterial SSU rRNA". It matches the Rfam family "Bacterial small subunit ribosomal RNA", at positions 8 to 795 of the family's 1533-position model. The record is from RNAcentral.
AGAGUUUGAUCCUGGCUCAGAACGAACGCUGGCGGCGCGUUUUAAGCAUGCAAGUCGAGGGGUAGAGUGCCUUCGGGCACUUGAGACCGGCGGACGGGUGAGUAACACGUAGGUAAUCUACCUGAGGGUUGGGGAUAGCCCAUGGAAACAUGGGGUAAAACCGAAUAAGUCUUGCACCACAGAAGUGGAGUAAGGGAAAGGCGCUUAGGCGCUGCCCACAGAUGAGCCUGCGGCCCAUUAGNUUAGUUGGUGGGGUAACGGCCUACCAAGGCAACGAUGGGUAGCCGGCCUGAGAGGGUGAUCGGCCACACUGGGACUGAGACACGGCCCAGACUCCUACGGGAGGCAGCAGCUAAGAAUCUUCCGCAAUGGACGAAAGUCUGACGGAGCGACGCCGCGUGUGUGAUGAAGGCGGAAACGUUGUAAAGCACUUUUCUUGGGGAAGAAUAAGGAGGGGAGGUAAUGCCCCUCUGAUGACACGAACCGAGGAAUAAGCCCCGGCUAAUUACGUGCCAGCAGCCGCGGUAACACGUGAGGGGCAAGCGUUGUUCGGAAUUAUUGGGCGUAAAGGGCGUGUAGGCGGCCUGGUAAGUCUGGUGUGAAAGACCGCAGCUUAACUGCGGGACCGCGCUGGAAACUAUCAGGCUGGAGUCUAAGAGGGGGAACUGGAAUUCCAGGUGUAGGGGUGAAAUCUGUAGAUAUCUGGAAGAACACCGGAGGCGAAGGCGAGUUCCUGGCUAUAGACUGACGCUGAGGCGCGAAAGCGUGGGGAGCGAACAGGAUUAGAUACCCUGGUAGUC